AUGGCCCGUCCACGGCGGCCGGUACCCGGCGGCCUCGCCGCCCUCCUCCUCCUCUCCGCGGCGGUCGCCGUCGCGGUGGCCAAGACCGACCGGGCCGACGUGGAGGCGCUGAACGUGCUCUUCACCAGCAUGCACAAGCCGUCCAAGCUGGACAACUGGAAGGCAGACGGCGGCGACCCCUGCGACGACGACGACGGCUGGCGAGGGGUCGACUGCAGCGACAACUCCGUCACCAAAAUUGACCUCUCGGGGCUCGACCUCACCGGCAACCUCGGCUUCCAGCUGUCCAGCCUCAAAUCGGUAACCAAAUUCGAUGUGAGCGACAACAAGCUCAGCGGCGAGAUCCCCUACGCGCUCCCGCCCAACCUGGUUCAGCUAAAUCUGCAAGGGAAUGCGUUUACCGGCGGGAUUCCUUGGUCGGUAUCUCAGAUGUCUGAUCUGGAGACACUAAACGUCGGUAGCAAUCACUUAAACGGGCAGUUGACCGACAUGUUCUCGCAACUUCCAAAGCUCUCGAAAAUGGAUCUCUCUGACAACCGCUUGUCCGGUAACCUGCCCCAGAGUUUCCAGCACCUCACAGGCCUCAAGACGCUGAACUUGGAGAGCAACCAGUUCACUGGCGAUGUUGACGUUCUGGCCAAACUUUCUUCUCUGGAGGAUCUGAAUCUGCAGAACAACAAGUUCACCGGGUGGAUUCCAAGUAAACUGAAAAAAAUCGACAGCCUCAAGACUGGUGGGAACCAGUGGUCAUCCGGGUCGGCUCCUCCCGGCAUGGAGAAGGGGUCUUCGGCGGGAGCCUCAUCGAGCGAAGGGAGUGACGUCGGGAUCAACGGUUUCUUUAUCGGAGCAAUGGUCAUAGCUGUGCUCCUUGCAGCCGUUAUUCUCUUGUCAGUGUUGCAGAUGAAGCGAUCCUCUCCCGUCUCGUCUCAUUACUACAUGGACGAGUCAGGCCAUUCUUCAAUAGUCAGCAUAAAGCCGCUGGAGAAAUCGACGUCGAUUGACAGUGUAACGCUGCCUUCUGUGCCUUACAAGACGAUGAACGACAACAAGUAUCAGAUAAUGCUAAACAAUUCUAGGCGGAUCUUGGAACCGAUCAGCCUGGUGACCUACUCGUCGUCGGAGCUACAAGCGGCCACUGGCAACUGGCACAGUAGCAGGAUAAUAGGCCAGGGAAUGGUCGGUCGGGUUUACAAGGCGAAAUAUGCCAACGGACAGGUGCUGGCUAUCAAGAAGUUUGAUCCGCUGAGCUUCUCGGAGAGAAGCGACUUUGUGGAGCUUGUCACCUGCAUUUCCAGGCUGCGCCAACCGAGCAUCUGUGAGAUUGUGGGCUACUGCGCGGAGCCCGGGCACUACAUCAUGGUGUAUGAGCACCAUAUGAACGGGUCCCUCUAUCAGUUCCUCCAUUUGUCAGACGAUUACAGCAAGCCUCUCACCUGGGAUACCCGCGUUCGGAUCGCUCUCGGUACAGCUCAGGCUCUGGAGUACCUGCAUGAGAUCUGCUCGCCUCCGAUCAUCCACAAGAACAUAAAGUCAUCCAAUGUCUUGCUCGACGCCGACCUCAACCCUCACCUCUCCGACUGCGGCCUCGCAUUCUUCUACGAGGAUCCAAACGAGAGCUUGGGGCCAGGGUACAGUCCCCCGGAGUGCACAAGGCCAUCGGGUUACACGAUGAAGAGCGACGUGUACAGCUAUGGUGUGGUCAUGCUCGAGCUAUUAACCGGCCGGAAGUCCUACGAUAGCUCAAAGCCGACAAAUGAGCAGUCCUUGGUCAAGUUUGUGACGCCGCAGCUCCACGACAGCGACGCCCUGGGAUCGGUGGCAGACCCGGCCCUGCGCGGCCUGUACCCGCCCAAGGCGCUGUCCCGCUUCGCCGACGUGAUCGCCCGCUGCGUCCAGUCUGACCCGCAGCUCCGGCCGCGCAUGUCGGAGGUGUCGCAGGAGCUCACCGGCUGCGUCCAGCGCAGCGCCAGCAGCAGGAGGGGCGGCUUCCUCUACAGCGCGUCGAUGCGCAGCGACGUCUCGGAUUGGUGA
Molecule: ribosomal RNA, 2031 nt
Filed under: Triticum aestivum (bread wheat)
Lineage: Eukaryota; Viridiplantae; Streptophyta; Magnoliopsida; Poales; Poaceae
Description: partial small subunit ribosomal RNA
Source: RNAcentral